This 139-nucleotide ribosomal RNA is filed under the name uncultured bacterium. Its description in RNAcentral is "partial 16S ribosomal RNA". It matches the Rfam family "Bacterial small subunit ribosomal RNA", at positions 355 to 509 of the family's 1533-position model. The record is from RNAcentral.
UGGGGAAUAUUGGGCAAUGGGCGCAAGCCUGACCCAGCAACGCCGCGUGAAGGAAGAAGGCUUUCGGGUUGUAAACUUCUUUUAAGUGGGAAGAGCAGAAGACGGUACCACUUGAAUAAGCCACGGCUAACUACGUGCC